UGCAGUCGAACGUGAAAGCACUUCGGUGUGAGUAGAGUGGCGGACGGGUGAGUAACGCGUGGGAAUCUACCCAGUAGUGGGGGACAACUACCGGAAACGGUAGCUAAUACCGCAUACGCCCUAUGGGGGAAAGGCUUCGGCCGCUAUUGGAUGAGCCCGCGUCAGAUUAGCUAGUUGGUAGGGUAAAGGCCUACCAAGGCAACGAUCUGUAGCUGGUCUGAGAGGACGAACAGCCACACUGGGACUGAGACACGGCCCAGACUCCUACGGGAGGCAGCAGUGGGGAAUAUUGGACAAUGGGCGAAAGCCUGAUCCAGCAAUGCCGCGUGUGUGAAGAAGGCCUGCGGGUUGUAAAGCACUUUCAGUUGGGAAGAUGAUGACGUUACCAACAGAAGAAGCACCGGCUAAAUCCGUGCCAGCAGCCGCGGUAAUACGGAUGGUGCGAGCGUUAAUCGGAAUUACUGGGCGUAAAGCGCGCGUAGGCGGCUAAGUCGGUCAGAAGUGAAAGCCCCGGGCUCAACCUGGGAAUUGCUUUUGAUACUGCUUGGCUAGAGUUUGGUAGAGGAUAGUGGAAUUCCAGGUGUAGCGGUGAAAUGCGUAGAUAUCUGGAGGAACAUCAGUGGCGAAGGCGACUGUCUGGACCAAAACUGACGCUGAGGUGCGAAAGCGUGGGUAGCAAACAGGAUUAGAUACCCUGGUAGA
This 702-nucleotide ribosomal RNA is filed under the name uncultured Gammaproteobacteria bacterium. RNAcentral's name for it is "bacterial SSU rRNA". It matches the Rfam family "Bacterial small subunit ribosomal RNA", at positions 56 to 794 of the family's 1533-position model. Lineage: Bacteria; Pseudomonadati; Pseudomonadota; Gammaproteobacteria. The record is from RNAcentral.